RNAcentral lists this ribosomal RNA (494 nucleotides) under uncultured bacterium. RNAcentral's name for it is "partial 16S ribosomal RNA". It matches the Rfam family "Bacterial small subunit ribosomal RNA", at positions 28 to 507 of the family's 1533-position model. The record is from RNAcentral.
GACGAACGCUGGCGGCGUGCUUAACACAUGCAAGUCGAACGGAAAGGCCUGCUUUCCCUUGUGGAUUGCGGGUACUCGAGUGGCGAACGGGUGAGUAACACGUGAGUGAUCUGCCCCCAACUUGGGUAUAAGCCUGGGAAACUGGGUCUAAUUCCCGAUAGGACUGCAGGGUGGUGCCUGUGGUGGAAAACGAUUUUCUAGUGGUUGGGGAUGAGCUCGCGGCCUAUCAGCUUGUUGGUGGGGUAAUGGCCUACCAAGGCGGCGACGGGUAGCCGGCCUGGGAGGGUGGACGGCCACAUUGGGACUGAGAUACGGCCCAGACUCCUACGGGAGGCAGCAGCGGGGAAGAUUGCACAAUGGGCGGAAGCCUGAUGCAGCGACGCCGCGUGGGGGAUGACGGCCUUCGGGUUGUAAACUCCUUUCGACCGCGAGGAAGCCACCUGGUUGGAAGGGUGGUGACGGUAGUGGUAGAAGAAGCACCGGCUAACUACGUG